AUGCCUAGCGUUUACCUAGUCUUCGAUGACUGGUCGCGAGGGCACAGCAUCCGCGAGGUAAUAAUCCCGUCUUCCGGCUCUGCCAUCUCAGCCCCGGCCGACGCGAAGCCCACGCCUCCGGUGUUCCUGCGCUUGGAGGCAAGGCAUGGGGCGCCGCAGCACUUCGUGUCAGCCUUCGGCACCAACAUCUUGGCCAUGCACAGCAGGUACUACGAGGGCAACUGUUCUAUGAUCGGGGGCUUCACCACCAUGGUCGACGUCCGCGAGCGGAGCCUCACCCUUUUCCCCGGGCAGUUUUAUCCGUGUCAUCCCAUUUAUUUCUCCGACGGCGACAAGCUGUUCUGCCUGAGCCUAGGCAGCUUCGAGAUGAUCGUCUGGGACCGGGACCCCCCGCUGGAUUCUUCUCACGGCGGGGAGAGCCCGUGGGAACAGCUCCCGGAACCGCCGUUCGGGCGUUAUGACGUCACCUCCUACGCCGUGCAGCCUCAGUCGUGGAUCUUCGUCGUCAGCACCAAGAUAGACGCCACUGAGGCCACCUUCGCCUUUGACAUGGUGGAACUUUCGUGGAAACGACUUGGCAGCUGGGCGCUGCCCUUCGAUGGCCGUGGUCACUUUGACCAGGACCUCAAUGCCUUUGUCGGACUCUCCAAAGAACCGGACACCCUCGGCCAACUGGGCCAGGACGCGGAGUAA
Molecule: ribosomal RNA, 693 nt
Filed under: Triticum aestivum (bread wheat)
Lineage: Eukaryota; Viridiplantae; Streptophyta; Magnoliopsida; Poales; Poaceae
Description: partial small subunit ribosomal RNA
Source: RNAcentral